RNAcentral lists this ribosomal RNA (897 nucleotides) under Triticum aestivum (bread wheat). Its description in RNAcentral is "partial small subunit ribosomal RNA". The record is from RNAcentral. Lineage: Eukaryota; Viridiplantae; Streptophyta; Magnoliopsida; Poales; Poaceae.
GUCCUCCGCAUUGGGACUUCCAUCUCGGUCGGCUCGGGCUCAGCGACCUUGUUCUAGUUUGACCGAUGGGCGGGUGAUGCUCCCUUCGCUGCCCGCUUCUCGGACCUCUUCUCCAUCGCCGUCGCCCCUACAAUCUCAGUUCAACAGGCCCUUAUUGACUUAGUGCGCCUCGUGUUCCGGAGGCCAUUUGGGCCUCCGGAAGUGGCCGCUUGGCAUGAACUUCUUGAUUGUAUUGCUCUCCAUGAACCGUCGGUUGAUGCGGGCCCGGAUGAGGUUCGUUGGUGCCUCGAGUCCUCGGGACAAUUCUCCACCAAGUCCCUUUACGCGGCUAUCGCCCCAUCCUCCGCCCCGCCGCCCCUCCAGGCGGUCUGGUCCAUUCGCCUACCCCUCAAAAUCCGCAUCUUCAUGUGGCAAUGGAUCCAUGGCCGGCUGCCGUCUGGAGUUGAGGUCCGCAAGCGCAAUGGCCCGGGAUCCGGCCUCUGCCCCCUAUGUGAUACCCCCGAAGACUCGAACCACAUCUUCUUCUCCUGCGUGACUGCUCAGUUUGUUUGGAGCUACUUUAGAGAGGCGGUUGGUGGAGAUUGGUGCCAUUCCAACUUCCCCGACCUAUUCGCGGAGCUUCAGGCCUCGCCGUCGCCAUCUCGCCACAUUAGGUGGCUUGAGAUUGGGGCCCUCACGUGGACGCUUUGGACUAUUCGCAAUAAGCUUGUGAUUCAGCGCUCCGCUCUUCGACGCUCUACCGACGCUCUCUUCAAACUGUCUGGUUACUUGCAGCUCUGGCGGCCGCUUAGCCGCCCACGGGACCGGGAUGCCAUCUCCGCCUUCAUCGCCGAUCUUCUCUCGAUGGCCGUCCGCCUGUCGCCGCCACCACCGCCGCCUCCGCGUGAGCCUGAUUAG